This 22-nucleotide non-coding RNA is filed under the name Arabidopsis thaliana (thale cress). Lineage: Eukaryota; Viridiplantae; Streptophyta; Magnoliopsida; Brassicales; Brassicaceae. The record is from RNAcentral.
AUCAGCCACCGCCGCCGCCACC